RNAcentral lists this ribosomal RNA (366 nucleotides) under uncultured organism. RNAcentral describes it as "bacterial SSU rRNA". It matches the Rfam family "Bacterial small subunit ribosomal RNA", at positions 526 to 896 of the family's 1533-position model. The record is from RNAcentral.
CGGAGGAUCCAAGCGUUAUCCGGAAUCAUUGGGUUUAAAGGGUCCGUAGGCGGGUUUAUAAGUCAGUGGUGAAAGCCCAUCGCUCAACGAUGGAACGGCCAUUGAUACUGUAGAUCUUGAAUUAUUAGGAAGUAACUAGAAUAUGUAGUGUAGCGGUGAAAUGCUUAGAGAUUACAUGGAAUACCAAUUGCGAAGGCAGGUUACUACUAAUGGAUUGACGCUGAUGGACGAAAGCGUGGGUAGCGAACAGGAUUAGAUACCCUGGUAGUCCACGCCGUAAACGAUGGAUACUAGCUGUUCGGAGCAAUCUGAGUGGCUAAGCGAAAGUGAUAAGUAUCCCACCUGGGGAGUACGUCCGCAAGAAUG